RNAcentral lists this ribosomal RNA (484 nucleotides) under uncultured bacterium. RNAcentral describes it as "partial 16S ribosomal RNA". It matches the Rfam family "Bacterial small subunit ribosomal RNA", at positions 30 to 507 of the family's 1533-position model. The record is from RNAcentral.
AUUGAACGCUGGCGGCAGGCCUAACACGUGCAAGUCGAGCGGAUGAAGGGAGCUUGCUCCUGGAUUCAGCGGCGGACGGGUGAGUAAUGCCUAGGAAUCUGCCUGGUAGUGGGGGAUAACGUCCGGAAACGGGCGCUAAUACCGCAUACGUCCUGAGGGAGAAAGUGGGGGAUCUUCGGACCUCACGCUAUCAGAUGAGCCUAGGUCGGAUUAGCUAGUUGGUGGGGUAAAGGCCUACCAAGGCGACGAUCCGUAACUGGUCUGAGAGGAUGAUCAGUCACACUGGAACUGAGACACGGUCCAGACUCCUACGGGAGGCAGCAGUAGGGAAUAUUGGGCAAUGGGCGAAAGCCUGAUCCAGCCAUGCCGCGUGUGUGAAGAAGGUCUUCGGAUUGUAAAGCUCUUUAAGUUGGGAGGAAGGGCAGUAAGUUAAUACCUUGCUGUUUUGACGUUACCAACAGAAUAAGCACCGGCUAACUUCGUG